Molecule: ribosomal RNA, 460 nt
Filed under: uncultured bacterium
Lineage: Bacteria
Description: partial 16S ribosomal RNA
Rfam family: Bacterial small subunit ribosomal RNA
Source: RNAcentral
CCUACGGGAGGCAGCAGUGAGGAAUAUUGGUCAAUGGGCUUACGCCUGAACCAGCCAAGUCGCGUGAGGGAAGACUGCCCUAUGGGUUGUAAACCUCUUUUGUCAGGGAGCAACGCCGGCUACGUGUAGCCGGACUGAGAGUACCUGAAGAAAAAGCAUCGGCUAACUCCGUGCCAGCAGCCGCGGUAAUACGGAGGAUGCGAGCGUUAUCCGGAUUUACUGGGCGUAAAACGAGCGCAGGCGGGUUAACAAGUUUGGUAUGAAAGGCUUUUGCUUAACGAAAGUUUGUAUCAAAAACUGUUAAUCUAGAGUGUAGUAGAGAGUUCUGGAAUUCCAUGUGGAGCGGUGGAAUGCGUAGAUAUAUGGAAGAACACCAGUGGCGAAGGCGAGAACUUAGGCUAUCACUGACGCUUAGGCUCGAAAGUGUGGGGAGCAAAUAGGAUUAGAUACCCCUGUAGUC